RNAcentral lists this ribosomal RNA (465 nucleotides) under uncultured bacterium. RNAcentral's name for it is "partial 16S ribosomal RNA". It matches the Rfam family "Bacterial small subunit ribosomal RNA", at positions 28 to 507 of the family's 1533-position model. The record is from RNAcentral.
GACGAACGCUGGCGGCGUGCUUAACACAUGCAAGUCGAACGGAAAGGCCCUGCUUGCAGGGUACUCGAGUGGCGAACGGGUGAGUAACACGUGGGUGAUCUGCCCUGCACUUCGGGAUAAGCCUGGGAAACUGGGUCUAAUACCGGAUAGGAGCCAUUUUUAGUGUGAUGGUUGGAAAGUUUUUUCGGUGUAGGAUGAGCUCGCGGCCUAUCAGCUUGUUGGUGGGGUAAUGGCCUACCAAGGCGGCGACGGGUAGCCGGCCUGAGAGGGCGGACGGCCACAUUGGGACUGAGAUACGGCCCAGACUCCUACGGGAGGCAGCAGUGGGGAAUAUUGCACAAUGGGCGCAAGCCUGAUGCAGCGACGCCGCGUGGGGGAUGACGGCCUUCGGGUUGUAAACUCCUUUCGCUAGGGACGAAGCUUUUUGUGACGGUACCUAGAUAAGAAGCACCGGCUAACUACGUG